RNA transcript from Beta vulgaris subsp. vulgaris (sugar beet), 4210 nucleotides. It is a transcript of the gene named peroxisomal ATPase PEX1, with no coding region annotated. The record is from RefSeq and is a predicted model, not a curated record. Lineage: Eukaryota; Viridiplantae; Streptophyta; Magnoliopsida; Caryophyllales; Amaranthaceae. The transcript has 18 exons.
UUCCAACCUUUCCUCAUCGGCUCAUCCUUUCCUUCUAAGUUCUAACUUGCAUCGAAAGUAGCCAAAUAGAAAACUUCUGCAUCCAUUAUACCCGGAUUUCUCACCGAGUCACUCACUCACACCGUCUUGUAAGAAGCAGAGUCGAUAAAAAUGGAGUUGGAGGUACGAGUGGUAGCUGGAGUAGAAAACUGCUAUGUCUCACUCCCACUCUCUCUCCUCCAAACUCUCGAAUCUACUCAUCCUGAUCAUCGCCUUCCUCAUCUCAUUCCUCUCCAACUUCGUUCUCUCUCCGACGACCGCCAUUGGCAUGUUUCCUGGUGUGGUUCUUCCUCCUCUUCUUCCGCCAUCGAGAUAGCUCAAGAGUUUGCUGGUUGUAUCGGUUUGCCGGAUGGUACAAUUGUUCAAGUUCGAGCUCUUCCUAACGUGCCCAAGGCUAGCCUUGUUACAAUUGAACCUGCUGCGGAAGAUGACUGGGAAGUUGUUGAGUUAAAUGCUGAGAGUGCUGAGGCUGCUAUCUUGAACCAGAUACGGAUCAUCCAGGGAAAGACGAGUUUUCCUUUGUGGUUGCAUGGCCAUCGAAUUGUUACUUUUACUGUGGUCUCAAUGUUGCCCGAUAGAAAUGUGGUGCAACUUGUUCCAGGAUCUGAAGUUGCUGUUGCACCGAAGAGGCGUAGAAAAUCUGCUGAUCAGUGCAAGGACUCCAGUUUGGAGUCUUUAAAUGAAUCUCGUACCAUCCGAAAGGCGCUUUUGCGCAUUCAAGACCCAAAACAGAGGUUAAAUCAGGAUAGCCAUCUAGGAAGAGGAAACGUGAGCAUUGAGAUGACAUCUAUUGCUUUAAUUCACCCAGAAACAGCCAAAAACUGUUUGUUUGACUCUCUUCAUGUAGUUGUCAUAGUGCCUAGAAGGCCUUUAAAAAUGAAAGUGGAAAAAUCUGGAAAUAAUACUUCGAGGAAGCAGUUAUCUUCUUCUGCAAAGGAGCUAAGUGGUAAACUUUUGACUGAUGAGGAUGAUUCUCGCUACGCAAUAGUUCGUCUCGUGUUCUGUGAGUUUGUUGGUAAAGGACAUCUCAUGCUUUCUCGAUCUUUAUGUCGCUAUCUGAGAGUACGCUUCCACUCAUGGAUUUAUAUGCAAAAAUAUGCCAAUGAUUUGAAGAAAGAUAUUCCUUCAUUUUCACUCUCCCCUUGCCAGUUUAUAGUGUUUCAAAAUAGCCAGGAUUCUCAGAUCAAUGAUGCAGAAGUUCUUGAUGACAGUUCAAAUAAAGAAGACAAUCUUUCGUUUCAUCGGUCUACUCGUGACAUGGGUCGACCAGAUAUCUCAUCACAAGAGGAGCUUAUCUCUACUCUUUUCGAAGAAUCAGCUGAUAAUGCAAAGGAUAGUGGUUUCCCUUCCAAUGCUAAAGAGCGAUUAAAGAGCCUCCUUCACGCAUGGAUAAUGGCUCAGUUCCAUGCGAUUACUUCAAUGACUGGAGUAAAGCCUACUUCGGUGGUUUUGGGUCCUACAACUUUUCUUCACUUGGAAUUGACUACUAGCAGUUGUCUGCCUGUUGGUAGAUGGCAGUCAUCGACUGACUCUUUGAGAGGGAAAAUGAUGGUUGACUCAGUAAAUGAGAUCUUAUAUGUGUUAAACGCUUCUGGUGAAUCUUCGCUUGGUCAAAAGUAUAGUGCAUAUGAGCUUGUAAUGGGAGAUCAUGUCACUAGUUCUCAUGAUGUUCUGAGGCUAUUUUCUGAAAACUUGAGCAUGGGCAGUGCUGUAUCAUACAAUACUUGCCAAGAUCAUUCCUUCAACCAAAUCACCACGUCUACUAUUUCUUCUUUGAGUUGGAUGGGUAUUGCAGCUUCAGAUGUCAUAAAUAGAUUGACAUUGCUGUUAUCUCCUGCUUGUGGAACAUGGUUCAGUAAUCUCAACCUUCCAUUACCUGGUCAUGUUCUAGUAUAUGGUCCUCCUGGAUCUGGAAAAACCGUUUUAGCUUCAGCUGCUGCAAAAUCCCUGGAGGAGAACAAAGACAUCUUGAUUCACACAGUUUUUGUACCUUGCUCAACUCUGGCUGUAGAAAAGGUCACGUCGAUCCGAAAUAGACUGUGUGACUAUCUAUCAGAUGCGCUGGAUAAUGCACCAUCUCUCGUCAUCUUUGACGAUCUUGAUAGCAUUAUUACAUCCUCGAGUGAUGCUGAAGGAUCUCAAACAUCUGCCUCAGUGGUCGCACUUACAGAAUUUAUCACUGGAAUCAUGGAUGAGUAUGGGGAAAAGAGAAAGCAAUCAUGUGGCCUUGGUCCUAUAGCAUUCAUAGCAUGUGUGCGUGCUCUUGAUAGCAUACCUCAGUCACUGAGGUCCUCAGGGAGAUUUGAUUUUCAUGUACAACUUCCUGCUCCUUCUACCUUAGAACGUCUGGCUAUCUUGAGGCAUGAAAUUCAGAAACGCUCCUUGCACUGUUCAGAGGAUGUUUUGCUAGAUGUAGCCUCAAAAUGUGAUGGAUAUGAUGCAUAUGAUCUGGGCAUAUUAGUUGAUAGGAGUGUCCAUGCAGCUAUUGGUCGAUUUUUGCCUUCUCACGAAGCCGUUGAGAGAAGACACCCGAGCUUAAUUGCAGAUGACUUUGUACAAGCUAGACAAGAUUUCCUUCCUGUCUCCAUGCGUGAUAUUACCAAGUCUCCAUCUGAAGGUGGCCGUGUUGGCUGGGAAGAUAUUGGUGGUCUUAAUGAUGUUCGAAAUGCCGUUAAAGAGAUGAUUGAACUACCUUCAAAAUUUCCAACUAUAUUUGGUAAAUCUCCUCUAAGGAUGCGGACAAAUGUUCUGUUAUAUGGCCCUCCCGGCUGUGGAAAGACUCAUUUUGUCGGGGCAGCUGCUGCUGCUUCUUCACUCAGAUUUAUAUCAGUAAAAGGGCCUGAGCUGCUGAAUAAAUACAUUGGUGCAUCUGAACAAGCUGUUCGAGACGUAUUCUCCAAAGCAGCUGCUGCUGCUCCAUGCCUUCUUUUUUUUGAUGAAUUUGACUCCAUUGCCCCUAAGAGAGGACAUGAUAACACUGGAGUCACUGAUCGUGUUGUUAACCAGUUCCUGACUGAAUUAGAUGGCGUAGAAGUUUUAUCUGGUGUAUUUGUUUUUGCAGCAACAAGUAGACCUGAUUUACUUGAUGCUGCUUUGCUACGACCUGGUAGACUGGAUCGUCUGCUUUUCUGCGAUUUUCCUUCUUUGCAUGACAGAUUGGAUAUUCUUAGAGUUCUCUCUAGAAAGCUACCCUUGGGAGAUAAUGUUGACUUGGAUGCAAUAGCAUAUAUGACUGACGGCUUUAGUGGUGCGGAUCUCCAAGCUCUUCUCUCGGAUGCCCAAUUAGCUGCAGUUCAGGAGCUUCUUGACAGUGGAUAUGAUGGCAAGUCAGGAGCAUCACCCGUUAUUACAGAUCAAUUGUUGAAGUCUAUCGCGUCCAAGGCUAAACCAUCAGUUUCAGAGUCUGAGAAACACAGGCUUUAUGCCAUUUAUCACCAAUUUUUGGAUGCAAAAAGAUCUGUUGCUGCACAGUCUAGAGAUGCAAAAGGCAAAAGAGCGACAUUGGCAUGAUGACAGAUUUGCUUCAUUCCACCCAAGACAAAUUACUUGAGCAAGCAGCAGCAUCCUGUAAUGAUUCACAAUGGCACCAUAUGUCGUCGUCUGGUCGAUAUCACAUUCCAACCAAAUUAGCCAGCAGGUGGUCUUUUGAUACAUCGGCCUAGGUGUGGUGAGAUAUGUUGCAAACACAAUUAAGGUGCCUAGUUCUGUUAUAGCCAGCAGGUGAUCUUUUGAUACAUUGGCCUAGGUGUGGUGAGAUAUGGUGCGAACACAAUUAAGGUGCCUAGUUCUGUUAUAGUUGCACGCCAAGUCUGAGAAUGAUCUUGCUCAGGAAAGCAGGUUACUAAGUUCACACCGUAUGUCAACCUAUCAAACAAGAUACUUGAGCUGUGGCAAGGGCAUCACUAACUGGCAACAUUGCUGUUUCUGCAUUAGGUUACUUCCAAGGGGGAAAAAGGAACCGUAAUUGAUUAUCCUAGUAAAGUUUUACAUCUCCACUGUAACGUUACUUUUCAAAGCAGAAAAUUCCCGACCAGUUUAGCAUGUGGUUAUAGAUGUUAUCAGUAAUAAAUUUAAUGUAAUUUUGUAAGGAAGAUCUAAUGUCAAUGUCCACGAUGAAGCAAUUGUAACGUCACAUAUGUAUUUUUCUUAAUAAAUGUCUGUUACCGCAUUA